CCGGCGUAAAACACCAAUGCUUUCUUAAUUCCCAUUGGCUUCGGAUGUCCAAUCGGCUUAUCGGCACCAGUCGCUUUCCAAUAACCAGUUCCAGCAGCUCGAUUUGGGCGUGAACCGUUCGGAUACUUUCGGUCUCGAGGUGAAAAGAAGUACCAUUCUUUCUCCCCAUACAAUGCCAAAUCUGAAACAGAAAUACCAAAAUUUUGGUUAAUUCAAAAAUUCAACUUCAAAAUUUUGAACUGUUUUAUUAUACAAACAAAGGUGAAGGAGAAAAUUACUUACGAGGAAGAUCCCAAGGGUCAUACUUGUAGAGGUCAAUUUCAGCAAUAAUUGGUACGGCAAUUGUCUGGGAGGCGCAUUUUCGGCAUAGAUAGUGCAUCACAAGCUCUUCAUCAGUUGGGUGAAAUCUGAAACCUGGAGGUAAUUGCAACUCUGCUGCUGUCAUUUUUUUGAUUUUUUUUUUCCCAAUCAAUUUACUCUCCCUUUUUUCUCUUUUUUUUUUUAAGUUUUUUUUUUUUUUUUGGGGGGGAUGUCUAAAUACAGAGUAUGAGGGAAAAUAGAAUAGGAAAAUACUUUGAAGGUUGAAACUUCGGACACAAGGGAGAGAAGCGAAUAUAUAGAGAUUGUAGAAGGGACACGUGGCAAAGAUAAGCCUAGAGAUCUAGAAAAAAUGUGUUAAAAUAAUCAGAAAAUAUGAAAAAAUAAAAUGUAAAUAAAGUGAUGGACACGUAUGCAAGAAUUGAGUUGGGUGGAAUGCGACAGUAGGUAUCGCUGACCAUAGUAAGAGGGGUGGGGGGUGGGUGCAUUUGGUCACUGCUUACGCACGGAUUUUUGGACAGGAGUGCCAAAUAGACUAGGUGGCUCGGUGGGUUCCUGGAAAUUUCUGGUUCGGUUUUGGGUCAGUUUUUUGGAGCGGCACUGGACACGUAUGUCAGGUCGAUGCACCUUGGUUAUUUGGCAGCGUCACUUUGACAAAAUUGCGGGCCUUCUUUUUAUUGUAUAUACUAUUUUAUUAAAUAAAAUAUAUUAAAUAGAAAAGAGAUGUGGAACUUUUUGAAGUGAGGUGGGGGGUUGGUUUGUCCUUUGGCAGUUACAAUUGAAUCACUUUUCUAGGAGAUCAGCAAUGUGUCACUAAUAUAGUGAAAACCACGGCAAGUAGUGCCACGUAUACUAUGAUGAAUUUUAGCUUGAAAAAAAAGAAAUAAAUGAAUAUAUUGAUUUGGCUAAUAAAUUCAAAAAAAUUACGGCUAAGAGCAGUAAUUACUGUUUGAUCAAAUUUUUUGAAAUAUAUUUUUUCAAAAAUAUUUUUUUAAAAUUGUUUUUGAAAAUAAAUUACUUUUUUAAACUUCUUCAAAAUUAUUUUUAUUUUUAUUCAAAAAUACUUAUUUUUCUUUUAAGAACUUGACCAACCUUUAAUUUUGAGAAAAAAAUAUCUUUUUGAAGAAAAAAGUACUUUUACUCUCGAAGAAGUUUGGCUAAAAAGGCUAUAAAAUUAAAAUCAGGCUCAAGAAGUUUAUGUUAUGAAUAGAAUUUUAUUUAGAGUGAAUGUCUAUUUUGUAAAGAGUUUUAUUUUGUGGCAAAUUCAUUUUUCCCUAUAAAUAAAGGGACCUUAUCACAUAGUAAAUCAUCCCAUAUCAAUAAGAAUUCUCUCUCCCUAGGCUUUCUUUGCAAUUAUGUUCUUCUUGUUUUAUUAUUUCAUAACACGUUAUCAGCACGAGACUCUAACCAAUUUAGUAGAACCUUUGGGAUUGAGCAUAAUGAUUGUCAAUUGUUCUAUGAAUUCCUUCACGAUUAAAUUUUUGAUUUAAGGUAAAUAUUUUACCGUAUUUUCCUCUUUUAUUCUAUGAUUUUAUAUACAAGCAAAGACAAGAAAGUUUGAUUAUAACUCUAAUAGAGUUUGAAAGAAAUUAUAACAAUCCAAAGUGGUAAAAUUUCUAUACAUUGCCAUGAUCAAAUUCAUAUAUGAUUGUGGGCAAAGAAUUGAAAACUCGCCUCAUUAAAUUUGCUCUAUUCUCAUUCCCUUUAGAGAAUGUGAUAGCAGUAUGUGAUAAGUUUGAAAGAAGAAAAUUAUUACUAUGAACGUAUUAAUGGAUGGGGACGUGGUAAUAUACAAAAUUAUAAUCGUCAUCAUUGUGGUAAUAAGAACAAUAUGGAUUUUCUAAAUAAUUUUUCACUUUGUGAAAGUAUUAUUUGUCAUCGAUUUGACAUGAGAUAUUAUAAAGCACAUAUAGAUGAUUAUAGUCUAUUCAUGAUGUGAAUGUGACAACAUCUAAUUUAUGAAUACAUAUUCAUUCUUGGGAGAAUAUGAACGUGCUAGUGGUAGUGAAUAUACCACACUCACCUCUAGAAGGAGGUUUGAGUUGAUAUAAGAAAAUAAUGUCAUUAUUAUUGCAUGAAUGAUCAUUGGUCACGUACCUAUUAGUGAAUAUAUCACACUCACCUCUAGAUGGAGGUUUCGGAUGAAAUAAGAAAAUAAUGUCAUUAUUAUGGCAUGAAUGAUCACUGGUCACGUACUUAUUGUACGCCAAAAUAUUAUGGCAAUGUGAUUAAUAAAAGACAAUGGUAAUGCAAGAAACAGAUCUUGCAUAUAAUUUGAUCAUGACCACAAUGGUAUAACUUCUUCUUUAAAAAAAGAUAUUCAUCACAUGGAUGUUGAUGAAUCUGUGGUAGUACCAAAUUAAUUGAGAACUCUGCAAGAGUCAGUUAUACUAUUUUGGAGAAACACAAUUGAUUGCCAAUAAGAUAUUGUAUUGUAGUAAGUCUCAAAGAAACUUAUUGAGUUUCCAAAGUACGCGCGUAAACGGUUAAUUAUAUUGAGACUAUAAAUAAAGGAAAUAUUUAAUAUCUUCUGUUAUUACAACUUGUAGCGGGGUAAUAUAUAUGUAAAAAAUUAUCCGCUUUAUUCUUCAGUUUGUACUAUACAAAUAAAAGAAUACCACAAUAAAGUAGAUGUUUAUUGAUAUAAAAACCUAUAUCAUAAUAAACUUGGGGUUUACUGAUAAUUGCACACGUCAUGGUGUAAAUAUGAACUUAUUAAUAUUGAUAAUAUAUUCAGUUGUCACAAUCAGUUUAGCCAUAUCAAUUAAGUAUAAUGUGCAAAAUAAUAGAGAAUUCACAUGGGUAAAUAUUAAAGAACUAGAAAAUUCUUUACGAAUUCUCUUAUAUUACUUGUUCUCAUUAAUUAAUUGAUCAACUGAAAUUGAAAUUGAAUCCCAUGAAUGCUGGAAAUAUCAAAGGUGAAUCUGGGCACAUUCACCUGCCAUGUAUAACACAUAAGAUGCAUCUUGAGAUAGUUACAUAUGCGAUUAUUAUUAACUUGGAACAUGGUAUUUGCGAGGUAACUUGCUCAAUAAUUUGAUUUAGAGCAUAAUUUUCAUAUUUUUUUAUUCAAUGUAGUUCAUCUUGAUAAGUUGGUUUAUAUCACAGUUGGUUUAGCAAAAUAAUUUAUUAAGUUCCUCCACUUAAUAGCUAAAUAAUUGCUUAUGAGAACAAAGUUAUCUAUAUCAAUUCAAUAUACGUUAUAUACGAAAGUAUAUUAUUUUCUCCCCUCACAAGUGGUUCAGGGUCAGGAACCAAAUGAUUCUAUCUUAUUAUUAUUAUUGAUGUGGGAUGUAUAUUUAUUAACACUAUAACACACAAAGAUGGAUUCUCAAAGUUGAGGAAACAAGUUAGUUUUUCUAACAUGAAGGGGAGACAAGAUACAAUAAUUGAGAAAAAAGUUACAUGGAAUGAAUUUUUAUUUAUAAUAUAGAUCCUCGAAUAGGAUAAUAUGAAUUUAAAGUUCAUAAAAGAUAAUUCAUUUGCGAUAUAUUGCAAAGCAUGCCAGACGCAUUUGCUAACCCAAAGAAAUCAACUAUACUCUCAUUGCAAAUGCUCCUAUUAAGUGCUAGAAGGACAAAGUCUAUGGUAUGCUUAAAGCGUAUAGAGAAAUCGGUUUCAAAUAAAACUUCUUGAUAAAGAAGAUGAACAAAUGAUCAAACUGAUCAUAAUAAGGAGGCAAGUGAUCUAGAAGAUCACAUGACAUAACACUUGAUAAAAUCUCAUGAGAGAUUUAGGUACCUCAAUAUAUGAAUGAAGAGAUUUCUAUGUUAUGUCUUUAUGGAAAAUAAAUCUCACGAGAGAUUCAGGUACCUGCAUAUAUGAAUGAAGAGAUCUCUAUGUUAUGUCUUUAUGAAAAAUAAGGAGUUGUUAUGUCUUUAUGAAAAAGGAGGUUGGAACUGAUUUAAAAUGUUUGUCGACGACAUUGAUUAUAGCGCUACAUAUAUAUAUGAGGAUCUUAAGUCUGGAGAAACAUUCAAAUGAAAUUUGGUUUCAUAUGAAAGACAAGUAGUUUUGGACCUGUAGUUCAAAUACUUAAAAGUAUAAAGACAAUAGUGUGUGUUAUCACCUUUAUGUAUCUUAUAUGUUUGGCAUGACAUGAAAACUUGAUACAAAUCUAAAGUCUAUUUAUAUGGCUUAUAUGACUUAACUNNNNNNNNNNNNNNNNNNNNNNNNNNNNNNNNNNNNNNNNNNNNNNNNNNNNNNNNNNNNNNNNNNNNNNNNNNNNNNNNNNNNNNNNNNNNNNNNNNNNNNNNNNUAAUUCUUGAUCUUGAAGUACCACUUCCUCAGUGCAAUUUGUGCACAAAUGUAUCUUGCUAUAACUAUAAGCAUGAUAAUAUAAUAGCAAGAGUUUUCACCUCUUUGUGAAAGUUAUUGAAAUGACGAUUCAACAAGAUCAUAUGAAGACAAUACAUCUAUUAUGAAUGAUGAUUUCAAGGUGUAACAAAUUCGUCUAAGAGAUCUUUUGAAGAUGGUGCACAAGAUUGGAAUGCAAAUGCUUGAAGAUGUGAAUUGAUGCUCUGAUCAGGGAGAAUUGAUGCGCGUUGCACUCUUUUUCCGUUACAAGGUUUUGUACUACUGGGUUUUCCUUGCAAGGCUUUUAACGAGGCAACCAAAAGGCAUAUUAUUAAAUAUGUGUACUCUUUUUCCUUCUCUAGAAUUUUUUCCCAUUGGGUUUUAUUUUAGUUAAGAUUUUAACGAGGCACAUUAUUUAUUGAGUAGACAUUCAAGGGAGGAUGUUAUGAAUAGAAUUCUAUUUAGAGAGAAUACCUAUCUUGUAGAGAGUUUUACUUUGUGGCUAAGUCAUUUUUCCCUAUAAAUGAAGGGGUCUUACCCCAUUGUAAAUUAUCCCAUAUCGAUAAAAAAUUGCUCUCCCUAGGUUUUCUUUGUAGUCAUAUUUUUCUUCUUUUAUUGUUUUAUAACAAUGUAGUUCUUAUUAUAAUCUCAAAACAAUAUAUAAAAUAAUAAUU
RNAcentral lists this long non-coding RNA (5288 nucleotides) under Nicotiana benthamiana. RNAcentral describes it as "long non-coding RNA (NBEN_LNC012634)". The record is from RNAcentral. Lineage: Eukaryota; Viridiplantae; Streptophyta; Magnoliopsida; Solanales; Solanaceae.